RNAcentral lists this transfer RNA (88 nucleotides) under Phlebotomus vaomalalae. RNAcentral describes it as "tRNA-Ser". The stretch from base 7 to 73 matches the Rfam family "tRNA". From Rfam's summary of the family: Transfer RNA (tRNA) molecules are approximately 80 nucleotides in length. The record is from RNAcentral. Lineage: Eukaryota; Metazoa; Arthropoda; Insecta; Diptera; Psychodidae.
CUGAUUAGUUAAUGAGCUUGAAAAAGCAAUUGUUUUGAAAACAAUAGAUAGGGCUUAAUACCUCUAUUAACUUUACUAUAUUUAAUUA